AGAACGAACGCUGGCGGCAGGCUUAACACAUGCAAGUCGAACGCGUGUAGCAAUACACGAGUGGCGCACGGGUGAGUAACGCGUGGAUAUCUGCCUUUUGGUUCGGAAUAACCCCGGGAAACUGGGGCUAAAUACCGGAUGGUUCCUACGGGAUAAAGAUUUAUCGCCAAAAGAUGAGUCCGCGUACGAUUAGCUAGUUGGUGAGGUAAUGGCUCACCAAGGCGACGAUCGUUAGCUGGUCUGAGAGGACGAUCAGCCACACUGGGACUGAGACACGGCCCAGACUCCUACGGGAGGCAGCAGUGGGGAAUAUUGGACAAUGGGGGCAACCCUGAUCCAGCCAUGCCGCGUGAGUGAUGAAGGCCUUCGGGUUGUAAAGCUCGUUUUGGCGGGGACGAUGAUGACGGUACCCGCAGAAUAAGCCCCGGCUAACUUCGUGCCAGCAGCCGC
Molecule: ribosomal RNA, 450 nt
Filed under: uncultured bacterium
Lineage: Bacteria
Description: SSU rRNA
Rfam family: Bacterial small subunit ribosomal RNA
Source: RNAcentral